GCUUGAGAAAAGAAUCUCAGUCCAGCUUAAAGUCACUAUAAUACCAUUAAAUAAAACUUUGACUUUAAAGUAAUUCAAAUAGGGUACAGCCUAUUUGAACUAGGAUACAACCUUAACUAACGGGUAAUCUGUCUUGUAAUAAACCAAGUGGGCCUAAAAGCAGCCACCUUAAAAAAGCGUCAAAGCUUAAUCUAAUUUAUUUUUAAUAACCCAACCCAUAUCCACCCCUUUAACUCUAUCAAGCAUCUCUAUAAAACUAUAGAGCUUUUUAUGUUAAAACUAGUAACAAGAAGUAGCCCUUCUCUUUAAUGUAAGCAUAACUCAGUAAGGACCCACUACUGACAAUUAAUAGACCUACUACAGUAAUAACCCCACUAGAAAAAUUUACUUCUCACCCUAUUAACCUCACUCAAGCACAUUUCAAGAAAGAUUUAAAGAUAAAGAAGGAACUCGGCAAACACCAGCCCCGCCUGUUUACCAAAAACAUCGCCUCUUGUUCAACAUAAGAGGUCCAGCCUGCCCAGUGACUCCCUCUGUUUAACGGCCGCGGUAUCCUAACCGUGCAAAGGUAGCGUAAUCACUUGUUUUUUAAUUAAAGACUCGUAUGAAAGGCACCACGAGGGCCAAACUGUCUCCUUUUUCCAAUCAGUGAAACUAAUCUCCCCGUGAAGAAGCGGGGAUUUUCUUACAAGACGAGAAGACCCUAUGGAGCUUUAAAUUUUACAACACCUGCAUUUACCCAUCCCCAUUUCCGAAAACUACCUCCCUUGCACCCUGUUUGUAAAUUUUUCGGUUGGGGCGACCCCGGAGAAUAACAUACCCUCCGCAAUGAAAAGAUCUUAUCUUUAGUAAAAAGCUACAGCUUCACACAUCAGUUCAACUGACAUACAUUGACCCAAAAUUUUGAUCAACGAACUAAGUUACCCUAGGGAUAACAGCGCUAUCUACUUUGAGAGCUCUUAUCGACAAGUGGGCUUACGACCUCGAUGUUGGAUCAGGGUAUCCUAGUGGUGCAGCCGCUUCUAAAGGUUCGUUUGUUCAACGAUUAAAACCCU
Molecule: ribosomal RNA, 1055 nt
Filed under: Oreobates choristolemma
Lineage: Eukaryota; Metazoa; Chordata; Amphibia; Anura; Strabomantidae
Description: partial 16S ribosomal RNA
Rfam family: Bacterial large subunit ribosomal RNA
Source: RNAcentral